AACCACCAAAGCGAAUUCAGGGUGCAUCAGGACUAACACCACAUGGGCACGUCCCCACAUAAGGGAAUUCGGAAGUAAUCUCCCAGCCAACUUUUCACCUAUUCUGUUGGGAGCUGGAGAAUCAUUUGAAAGUGUAUAAUUUCCACGGCAAGAUGACUGAAAGUUCACAUGGACCUGCUGCUGCUUACAACAAUCUGUGCAUUAGCAGACUAUAGGGACACAAUCCAUUUUGUAACAUCACCAUCAAUUGCUGUGCAAUUAGCAUAUAACGGCAACUUCAGUGAAGCAGCUCAGAGGAACUUAAAGGGGAAAAAAGAGCCUUUGUUUAUUUCUACAGGCAACUGUCUCAAAAUGUAAGAUAAAAAAAUAAUUUACAGAAGACAGACAACUUUUCAGGAAACUGGUACUCCAAAAUACUAAUAGUCAGCAGUCACUCCAGCCCUGCUAGGUGUCUGAAAUUGUGCCUGCAGACAUGUACAACAGACUAAUGGUUUUGGGAUUCCUUUGAAAAAGAGAGGUUAUACUAUAUUGUUAUGAAACUCAAGAUUUGAGGAGCUGAUGAUAGUUUGUAACACCAGUAUUCGCCAGCACAGCUACAAAGAAAAGCCAAGACCCCUGUCACCCUAGUAUAUUGUCAAUGCCCAACAGAACAUGAACAGCUGGACAAGACUCCUACCAUAUUUUCACAGUCGGUUUCCCCAUCUGGGCUGCGUAAGGGGAAGGCAGGAGAGCAGUUCCUGGUGCCUCACAGCAGAGUUCCAGCUUGGGGCCUUUUCAAUUUUACUAGCCUAUAAAAUAAGAGUCUUGAACCAGAAACACAGGCAUCUAGACAUCGGGGCCACGUUCUAAUCAGCACGGGUAAUGUCGUAGCAAGUGAACACAAGAUCUGAGCUGCUUCCAAGGGUCUGGGCAGUUACUGCAUUGACUGUGUCAAGCCCAGAAAACAAUAACGGACACUAAUGAAGAGAUACCUACAGAGAAAAGGAAGCCAUUACAAAAACAAGACUUGGGAACAACCUUCCUCAGAGGAGUAGAGAAGCCAGAAGCACAGGUCUAGAGAGUCCAGAAGCUAAGAAUUGUCUGCAACAUAUCAGACACAUCCCCUUCAUGGUACUCACGCGGUUUUCUUGCAGGAUGCUAAAGCGCAGAA
Long non-coding RNA from Mauremys reevesii (Reeves's turtle), 1150 nucleotides. RefSeq lists it as uncharacterized. The record is from RefSeq and is a predicted model, not a curated record. The transcript has 6 exons. Lineage: Eukaryota; Metazoa; Chordata; Testudines; Geoemydidae.